UAGCACGUGGUAUUUCCAUGGCCACCCUCCCAAGUUCUGACCGCACCCGACGCUGCUCAACUGCGGUGAUCAGACGAGAACCUAUGCUUUCAGCAUGGUAUGGCCGUU
Non-coding RNA from Araneus ventricosus, 108 nucleotides. The record is from the annotation of a GenBank genome assembly. Lineage: Eukaryota; Metazoa; Arthropoda; Arachnida; Araneae; Araneidae.